Molecule: ribosomal RNA, 1026 nt
Filed under: Meloidogyne javanica (root-knot nematode)
Lineage: Eukaryota; Metazoa; Nematoda; Chromadorea; Rhabditida; Meloidogynidae
Description: bacterial SSU rRNA
Rfam family: Eukaryotic small subunit ribosomal RNA
Source: RNAcentral
GGGUUCCCCCAGGCAAUCAAAUUUCACCAGGCAUUUUGGUUUAGAGUCUGUGACGACUCCGACCUUAAAAAUUGGCCUCCUAGGCAAUGUAGACCAAAGUGCAAUUGACCAAGUGUCGUAGGGUUCAGGCAAUAGGGUUCCCCCAGGCAAUCAAAUUUCACCAGGCAUUUUUGGUUUAGAGUCUGUGACGAUCCGAUUAAAAAUUGCCUCAGGCAAAGUAGAGUUAGUUCCGCCCUAGUUCUGACCGCCCUAGUUCUGACCGUAAACGAUGCCAACUAGCGAUCCGCCGAUGGAAAUUAUAUUGCCUUGGUGGGGAGCUUCCCGGAAACGAAAGUCUUCCGGUUCCGGGGGAAGUAUGGUUGCAAAGCUGAAACUUAAAGGAAUUGACGGAAGGGCACCACCAGGAGUGGAGCCUGCGGCUUAAUUUGACUCAACACGGGGAAACUCACCCGGCCCGGACACUGUGAGGAUUGACAGAUUGAUAGCUUUUUCAUGAUUCAGUGGAUGGUGGUGCAUGGCCGUUCUUAGUUCGUGGAGUGAUUUGUCUGGUUUAUUCCGAUAACAAGCGAGACUCUAACCUACUAAAUAGCUGGUACAUAAUUUAAGUGUAUACAGCUUCUUAGAGGGAUUUGCGGUGUUCAGCCGAAAGAAAUUGAGCAAUAACAGGUCUGUGAUGCCCUUAGAUGUCCGGGGCUGCACGCGCGCUACACUGGCAAAAUCAACGUGCUUGUCCUACCCCGAAAGGGGCGGGUAAACCAUUGAAAAUUUGCCGUGAUUGGGAUCGGAAAUUGCAAUUAUUUUCCGUGAACGAGGAAUUCCAAGUAAGUGCGAGUCAUCAGCUCGCGUUGAUUACGUCCCUGCCCUUUGUACACACCGCCCGUCGCUGCCCGGGACUGAGCCAUUUCGAGAAAUUUGGGGACCGUUGAUUUAAUUUUUCUAAAUUACUUUGAUGGAAACCAAUUUAAUCGCAGUGGCUUGAACCGGGCAAAAGUCGUAACAAGGUAGCUGUAGGUGAACCUGCUGCUG